Non-coding RNA from Chiloscyllium plagiosum (whitespotted bambooshark), 333 nucleotides. Lineage: Eukaryota; Metazoa; Chordata; Chondrichthyes; Orectolobiformes; Hemiscylliidae. The record is from RefSeq and is a predicted model, not a curated record.
CUUAACUGCCAGGAUGCAAGUAUAGUGCUGCAAGUGUGAGAGCACACAACAACUCAGAAGGGGCAAGAAAGAUGUUGCCAUAGGGUUGCUGCAUCCAGGAAGAAACCAGAGACUGAAGUUAACAGGUGAUCAGGAAAGAAGUGGGAGUAGGAUCUACAAGUCAAGAGUUUUACGAACAGGGUAGGUGGGAGGCCUGGGCUGGAUUCACAUAAUAGGACCAGAAGUAAAAUUAAAACAGCUGAAUAGUUCACGCUGGAAAGAACAAAGUGUCAGGCCUGGAGUUGGGAUGAGAGGAGUGGAGACAAGCAGCCAGGGCAAAGAGACAGAAUUGAA